RNAcentral lists this ribosomal RNA (253 nucleotides) under uncultured bacterium. RNAcentral describes it as "partial 16S ribosomal RNA". It matches the Rfam family "Bacterial small subunit ribosomal RNA", at positions 524 to 776 of the family's 1533-position model. The record is from RNAcentral.
UACAGGGGGUGCAAACGUUGCUCGGAAUUAUUGGGCGUAAAGGGUGCGUAGGCGGCGGAGUAAGUUGGGUGUGAAAUCCCGGGGCUCAACCUCGGAAUGGCAUUCAAUACUGCUUCGCUAGAGUACUGGAGAGGAGGCUGGAAUUUACGGUGUAGCAGUGAAAUGCGUAGAUAUCGUAAGGAAGGCCGGUGGCGAAAGCGAGCCUCUGGACAGUUACUGACGCUGAUGCACGAAGGCCAGGGGAGCAAACGGG